Molecule: non-coding RNA, 216 nt
Organism: Vicia faba (fava bean)
Lineage: Eukaryota; Viridiplantae; Streptophyta; Magnoliopsida; Fabales; Fabaceae
Source: the annotation of a GenBank genome assembly
AUGGCAAAGGUGGCGGUUACUAAGGUGCUAGAUUCAAAUGUUCAAGUCCCUAUGCCCACUGAUGAGGUGACAAAGGUUGGUGAAGCCCUCGAUAAUUUCAUCCAAUGGCCAAAAAGACUAUUGCGUCUUGUUACUAAUAAGGAUGUUAAAGGAAAUACAAAGAUGCCCUUUCAUCUAAAAGGCCAGAACCUGAAAACACCGGCGCUGAAAAAUUGA